RNAcentral lists this ribosomal RNA (570 nucleotides) under uncultured fungus. Its description in RNAcentral is "eukaryotic LSU rRNA". The stretch from base 208 to 361 matches the Rfam family "5.8S ribosomal RNA". The record is from RNAcentral. Lineage: Eukaryota; Fungi.
CGUAACAAGGUCUCCGUAGGUGAACCUGCGGUGGGAUCAUCACACAAAUAUGAAGGCGGGCUGGAACCUCUCGGGGUUACAGCCUUGCUGAAUUAUUCACCCUUGUCUUUUGCGUACUUCUUGUUUCCUUGGUGGGUUCGCCCACCACUAGGACAAACAUAAACCUUUUGUAAUUGCAAUCAGCGUCAGUAACAAAUUAAUAAUUACAACUUUCAACAACGGAUCUCUUGGUUCUGGCAUCGAUGAAGAACGCAGCGAAAUGCGAUAAGUAGUGUGAAUUGCAGAAUUCAGUGAAUCAUCGAAUCUUUGAACGCACAUUGCGCCCUUUGGUAUUCCAAAGGGCAUGCCUGUUCGAGCGUCAUUUGUACCCUCAAGCUUUGCUUGGUGUUGGGCGUCUUGUCUCUAGCUUUGCUGGAGACUCGCCUUAAAGUAAUUGGCAGCCGGCCUACUGGUUUCGGAGCGCAGCACAAGUCGCACUCUCUAUCAGCAAAGGUCUAGCAUCCAUUAAGCCUUUUUUUCAACUUUUGACCUCGGAUCAGGUAGGGAUACCCGCUGAACUUAAGCAUAUCA